GACGAACGCUGGCGGCGUGCUUAACACAUGCAAGUCGAACGGAAAGGCCCUGCUUUUGUGGGGCGCUCGAGUGGCGAAUGGGUGAGUAACACGUGCGUAACCUGCCCUUGACUUUGGGUUAACUUCAGGAAACUGGGGCCAACAUCGGAUCGGAGCUCCUGCUGCAUGGUGGGGGUUGGAAAGCUCCGGCGGUUGGGGAUGGACUCGCGGCUUAUCAGCUUGUUGGUGGGGUAGUGGCUUACCAAGGCUUUGACGGGUAGCCGGCCUGAGAAGGUGGCCGGCCACAAUGGGACUGAGAGACGGCCCAGACGCCUACGGGAGGCAGCGGUGGGGAAUAUUGCACAGUGGGCGGAAGCGUAAUGCAGCGACGCCGCGUGCGGAAUGACGGCCUUCGGGUUAUAAACCGCUUUCGCCUGUGACGAAGCGUGAGUGACGGUAAUGUAUAAAGAAGCACCGGCUAACUACGUG
This 468-nucleotide ribosomal RNA is filed under the name uncultured bacterium. RNAcentral's name for it is "partial 16S ribosomal RNA". It matches the Rfam family "Bacterial small subunit ribosomal RNA", at positions 28 to 507 of the family's 1533-position model. The record is from RNAcentral.